AUGGACAAGUCAUCUGUGAAGCAGCAGGUAGAAGGCUACCUGGCAGUGCCUCCAGGGAUUCGCUGUACAAUACAUGUCACCACAGCUAUGUCGAUGAAGACUCAAAGUGAUGCUUUCAUUAUAUCACUUGCCAAGUUUACAUCACUUCACUCUGCUGCCAAGGUUGAAACCCCACUCUGUAGUUUCUCUUCAGAUCUUGCAGUAGCAAAGCAAGGGAAUGUGAUGCAAGACUGGAGAGUGGCAAAGUGGCAGAUGACAUCUAUGUGGAGGGUGAUGAUGAUCCAUGUGGCAAUGAGCAAUAUGAUAACUAGGGCGAUGACGGUGAUAAACUCGACGUUCUCUUCAAGUAAUGCAACAAAGAGAAGUUCUAAAGUUUGUGGAAAAUUUAGCUUAUGUAAAAUCUUUGUACAAGUUACUACUUUGUUUUGUAUUUGA
Molecule: ribosomal RNA, 435 nt
Filed under: Triticum aestivum (bread wheat)
Lineage: Eukaryota; Viridiplantae; Streptophyta; Magnoliopsida; Poales; Poaceae
Description: partial small subunit ribosomal RNA
Source: RNAcentral